RNAcentral lists this non-coding RNA (25 nucleotides) under Rattus norvegicus (Norway rat). The record is from RNAcentral. Lineage: Eukaryota; Metazoa; Chordata; Mammalia; Rodentia; Muridae.
UACUGAACCAUCCUUGCAUCUGGAC